This 408-nucleotide ribosomal RNA is filed under the name uncultured bacterium. Its description in RNAcentral is "partial 16S ribosomal RNA". It matches the Rfam family "Bacterial small subunit ribosomal RNA", at positions 28 to 526 of the family's 1533-position model. The record is from RNAcentral.
GACGAACGCUGGCGGCGUGCUUAACACAUGCAAGUCGAACGAAGUGGCGAACGGGUGAGUAACGCGUAAUCAACCUGCCCUUCAGAGGGGGACAACAGUUGGAAACGACUGCUAAUACCGCAUACUGAAGGAGGGGAUUGCGUUUGAUUGGCUAGUUGGAGGGGUAACGGCCCACCACGGCGAUGAUCAGUAGGCGGGCUGGGAGGAUGAACGGCCACAAUGGGAAUGGGACACGGGCCAGACUCCUACGGGAGGCAGCAGUGGGGGAUCUUCCGAAAUGGACGAAAGGCUGACGGAGCAAAGCCGCGGGAGUGAUGACGGCCUUCGGGUUGGAAAGCUCUGUUAAUCGGGACGCGGUACCGGAAUAGAAAGCCACGGCUAACUACGUGCCAGCAGCCGCGGUAAUUC